ACGCUCGACACCUACGGGGGCAGCAGUGGGGAAUAUUGCACAAUGGGGGAAACCCUGAUGCAGCAACGCCGCGUGAAGGAAGACGGUUUUCGGAUUGUAAACUUCUGUUCUUAGUGAAGAUAGUGACGGUAGCUAAGGAGCAAGCCACGGCUAACUACGUGCCGACAGCCGCGGUAAUCUGAGCGGGCUGGCAAGGC
Molecule: ribosomal RNA, 197 nt
Filed under: uncultured bacterium
Lineage: Bacteria
Description: partial 16S ribosomal RNA
Rfam family: Bacterial small subunit ribosomal RNA
Source: RNAcentral